Non-coding RNA from Poecilia reticulata (guppy), 720 nucleotides. The record is from RefSeq and is a predicted model, not a curated record. NCBI's taxonomy places the organism in Eukaryota, Metazoa, Chordata, Actinopteri, Cyprinodontiformes, Poeciliidae.
GUGUCAUCUUUAUAUAAACUGACACAAAGGCGAGCAGCUAUCACAGAAUUGUUAUUAAUGUGCCGCGAGCAGCUUAAAGGUGUCUUAGUGAUGAUGAUGCAUUGUUGUGCUCUUGAAAACAACCUGCUGUAUUAAAGUUUGUCUGUCUCUGAAGUAUUUGAUGACAUUGAUAAAGUGCAGCGUUUUAUUCCUGCAGCAGUGAAAUGUUGAUAAAUGUAUUUGUUUCUUGUUUUGGGGACAGAAUUUGUCUUCUUUCUCUGCCUUGACGGUAACCAGGACAGAAUCUGAGCACCUUCUUUGUCUCAGCUAUUGCAGCUGUCAUGCAAGCUUGUGAAUAUAUUGACUUUCCCCCUAUGAAGAAGGGAAUAUUGCCUGCUGUGCACACAGUGAUAGAUGUAUGUUUUAAUGGUCCUUUGUCGUCAGAACAACCAGCCUGGUUUGUGUCCUGGAAGAGGAAAAAUUAAGUCUGCUGUGUGGUUUUCAACAUACACAGCAAGAUCCGUCUUCCAAGGUUCUACAAGAGGUCUGACUCCAGAGGAAAGGCAAACCGGACCUGUGUCUUCCCUUCUUCCUGUCCGGCUGCUACCGAGUGAAGACCAUGUUAUCGUUGGUCCGCCUGUUUCUUUAAAUGCCCAGUGUGCAGAUAAUACAACAUGGACAAAAUUACAGGAAUUUUGCGUAGAGCAUCAGAAUGAGUCAUGGACACAUGAGAACAGAUUA